Molecule: ribosomal RNA, 497 nt
Filed under: uncultured bacterium
Lineage: Bacteria
Description: partial 16S ribosomal RNA
Rfam family: Bacterial small subunit ribosomal RNA
Source: RNAcentral
GACGAACGCUGGCGGCGUGCCUAAUACAUGCAAGUCGAGCGAACCGACGAGGUGCUUGCUCCUCUGACGUUAGCGGCGGACGGGUGCGUCACACGUGGUUAACCUACCUAUAAGACUGGGAUAACUUCGGGAAACCGGAUCUAAUACCGGAUAAUAUAUUGAAUCGCAUUGUUCACUAGUGAAAGACGCUUUUGCUUUCACUUAUAGAUGGACCAGCGCCGCAUUCGCUAGUUGGUAAGGUAACGGCUUACCAAGGCAACGAUGAGUAUACGACCUCAGAGGGUGAUGCGCAACACUGGAACUGAGACUGAGACGAGACUCCGGGAGGAGGCAACAGUAGGGAAUCUUACGCAAUGGAGGAAAGCCUGACGGAGCAACGCCGCGUAAGGAAUGAACGUGUAAGGAGCGGAAAGCGAUAUUAGAAGGGAAGAACAAAAGAGGAUGUAACAAUGAACGUCUUGACGGUACCUAAUCAGAAAGCCAAGGCUAACUACGUG